This 433-nucleotide ribosomal RNA is filed under the name uncultured bacterium. RNAcentral's name for it is "partial 16S ribosomal RNA". It matches the Rfam family "Bacterial small subunit ribosomal RNA", at positions 29 to 507 of the family's 1533-position model. The record is from RNAcentral.
AACGAACGCUGGCGGCAUGCCUAACACAUGCAAGUCGAACGAGCCCUUCGGGUCUAGUGGCGCCCGGGUGCGUAACGCGUGGGAACCUGCCCUUAGGUUCGGACUAACUCCCCGAAAGGGGUGCUAAUACCGGAUCAUGUCUUCGGCCCAAAGAUUUAUCGCCCUUGGAUGGGCCCGCGUUGUAUUAGCUCGUUGGUAGGGUAAAAGCCUACCAAGGCGACGAUCCAUAGCUGGUCUGAGAGGAUGAUCAGCCACACUGGGACUGAGACACGGCCCAGACUCCUACGGGAGGCAGCAGUGGGGAAUAUUGGACAAUGGGCUAAAGCCUGAUCCUGCAAUGCCGGGUGAGUGAUGAAGGCCUUAGGGUUGUAAAGCUCUUUUACCCGGGAUGAUAAUGACAGUACCGGGAGAAUAAGCUCCGGCUAACUCCGUG